Molecule: unclassified non-coding RNA, 412 nt
Filed under: soil metagenome
Description: partial contains 5.8S ribosomal RNA, internal transcribed spacer 2, and large subunit ribosomal RNA
Rfam family: 5.8S ribosomal RNA (bases 1-122)
Source: RNAcentral
GAUGAAGAACGUAGCGAAAUGCGAUACUUGGUGUGAAUUGCAGAAUCCCGUGAACCAUCGAGUCUUUGAACGCAAGUUGCGCCCGAAGCCGUCAGGCCGAGGGCACGCCUGCCUGGGCGUCACACGCCGUUGCCCCCCCGCGCCCCGCACCCAACUCUUUGGGAGCGACCGCGGGGCGGGCUGAUGAUGGCCUCCCGUGCGCUCCGCCGCGCGGUUGGCCCAAAUACCGAGUCCCCGGCGACGUGCGCCACGCCGAUCGGUGGUUGAGAGCCCUCUGUCGCAAGUCGUGCGCGCCCGUCGCGUCACGCGGGCUCGCAUAGCGCCUCGCGCCGCACCCGGUGCGGAGCUUUCAACGCGACCCCAGGUCAGGCGGGGUUACCCGCUGAAUUUAAGCAUAUCAAUAAGCGGAGGA